GAUCAUGGCUCAGGAUGAACGCUGGCGGCGUGCUUAACACAUGCAAGUCGAACGAAGAGGCAUUAAGGAAGUUUUCGGAUGGAAUUAAUGAAUCUUAGUGGCGGACGGGUGAGUAACGUGUGGGCAACCUGCCCUUUACAGGGGAAUAAUCAUUGGAAACGAUGACUAAUACCGCAUGACAUCUUUGGUAGGCAUCUACCGAAGAGAAAAGGAGGAAUCCGGGUAAAAGGAUGGGCCCGCAU
This 242-nucleotide ribosomal RNA is filed under the name uncultured bacterium. RNAcentral describes it as "partial 16S ribosomal RNA". It matches the Rfam family "Bacterial small subunit ribosomal RNA", at positions 15 to 236 of the family's 1533-position model. The record is from RNAcentral.